Molecule: ribosomal RNA, 482 nt
Filed under: uncultured bacterium
Lineage: Bacteria
Description: partial 16S ribosomal RNA
Rfam family: Bacterial small subunit ribosomal RNA
Source: RNAcentral
GACGAACGCUGGCGGCGUGCUUAACACAUGCAAGUCGAACGAUGAAGAAGAGAAACUCGAACUUCGGUUCAAAUCUCACUUCGGAUUAGCGGCAGACGGGCGAGUAACGCGUGAGCAACCUACCUCUUACAAAGGGAUAGCCUCGGGAAACCGUGAUUAAUACCAUUUGACACAUUCAUAAGGCAUCUUAAGAAUGUUAAAGCUACGGCGGUAAGGGAUGGGCUCGCGUCCCAUUAGCUAGUGGGUGAGGUAACGGCCCACCAAGGCGACGGUGGGUAACCGGGCGGAGAGGCGGACCCGUCACAUUGGAACUGAGGCACGGUCCAAACUCCGACGGGAGGCAGCAGUGGGGAAUAUUGCACAAUGGAGGGAACUCUGAUGCAGCGGCGCCGCGUGAGCGGUGAAGGAAUUCGUUACGUAAAGCUCUGUUCUAUGAGAAGAGAAGGACUGUACCAUAUGAGGAAGCCCCGGCUAAAUACGUG